GCAAGAAGACCCUAAGAAUUUUAAAAAUAGUAAUUUUUAGUUUCAAAGAAUGCUAUUUUUUAGUUGGGGCAACUAAGAAAUAUUAUAAACUUUUUUAAAAUAAAAUGAUCCAUUAUUAAUGAUUAUUUGAAAAAAUACUCUAGGGAUAACAGCGUAAUAAUUUUUGAUAGAACAUAUAGACAAAAUAGUUUGCGACCUCGAUGUUGGAUUAGGAUACUUUUUUAAUGAAGAUGUUAAAAAAAGAAGUUUGUUCAACUUUUAAAGUCCUACUUGAUCUGAGU
RNAcentral lists this ribosomal RNA (281 nucleotides) under Dermacentor hunteri. RNAcentral describes it as "partial 16S ribosomal RNA". The stretch from base 145 to 281 matches the Rfam family "Bacterial large subunit ribosomal RNA", at positions 2473 to 2610 of the family's 2925-position model. The record is from RNAcentral. Lineage: Eukaryota; Metazoa; Arthropoda; Arachnida; Ixodida; Ixodidae.